This 300-nucleotide long non-coding RNA is filed under the name Musa acuminata (dwarf banana). RNAcentral describes it as "long non-coding RNA (MACU_LNC001550)". Lineage: Eukaryota; Viridiplantae; Streptophyta; Magnoliopsida; Zingiberales; Musaceae. The record is from RNAcentral.
GCAUUUUAUUCCAAAACAUUCAUCAGUUCCUUCUCAUAUACAUGUAACCACAAACCCAAGGAGUCCCAAGAGGACAAGACAAGGCCACAGAGGUAGGAUUCAGCAUAAGAUCCUUGCAACAAUGGUAGUGCAAGAGCUAACAAGUAAUCCAUGGGUAGCAGGGCUGUUCCUGCUCUUAUCAGUGCUUCUUCCCUUGGGUGUAGAUGUAGUCUGUGUGAGCCGCAAGCGUCCUCCUCAUCAGGCACUCCUCCUUGCCAACCCCUCCACACUCCUCAUCCAUUUUCUCGAAACUGUCCUCUU